RNAcentral lists this ribosomal RNA (736 nucleotides) under uncultured eukaryote. RNAcentral describes it as "SSU rRNA". It matches the Rfam family "Eukaryotic small subunit ribosomal RNA", at positions 671 to 1426 of the family's 1831-position model. The record is from RNAcentral.
GGUGUUUACUGUCGAACUGAACACUCUACCGUUUACUGUCUGGUGGUGCUCUUCACCGAGUGUCACCAGUGGUCGGUACGUUUACUUUGAAAAAAUUAGAGUGCUCAAAGCGGUUUUUACACGACCGAAUACUGUUGCAUGGAAUAAUGAAAUAGGACUUUGGUUCUAUUUUGUUGGUCUUCGGAACCAAGGUAAUGAUUAAGAGGGACAGACGGGGGCAUUAGUAUUGCGACGCUAGAGGUGAAAUUCUUGGACCGUCGCAAGACUAACUAAAGCGAAAGCAUUUGCCAAGAAUGUUUUCAUUAAUCAAGAACGAAAGUUAGAGGUUCGAAGGCGAUCAGAUACCGCCCUAGUUCUAACCAUAAACGAUGCCAACCAGCAAUCAGCCUGUGUUCUCUUGAUGACACGGCUGGCGGCUUCCGGGAAACCAAAGUCUUUCGGUUCCAGGGGAAGUAUGGUUGCAAAGCUGAAACUUAAAGGAAUUGACGGAAGGGCACCACCAGGAGUGGAGCCUGCGGCUUAAUUUGACUCAACACGGGGAAACUCACCCGGCCCGGACACUGUGAGGAUUGACAGGUUGAAGCCCUUUCUUGAUUCAGUGGGUGGUGGUGCAUGGGCCGUUCUUAGUUGGUGGAGUGAUUUGUCUGGUUAAUUCCGAUAACGAACGAGACUCUAGCCUACUAAUUAGACCGUGGCGUCCUCGUGCCGCCACGGCGCUUCCUAGAGGGACAGACGG